RNAcentral lists this ribosomal RNA (506 nucleotides) under uncultured bacterium. RNAcentral's name for it is "partial 16S ribosomal RNA". It matches the Rfam family "Bacterial small subunit ribosomal RNA", at positions 29 to 523 of the family's 1533-position model. The record is from RNAcentral.
AGUGAACGCUGGCGGUAGGCCUAACACAUGCAAGUCGAACGGCAGCACAGGAGAGCUUGCUCUCUGGGUGGCGAGUGGCGGACGGGUGAGGAAUACAUCGGAAUCUACUCUGUCGUGGGGGAUAACGUAGGGAAACUUACGCUAAUACCGCAUACGACCUACGGGUGAAAGCAGGGGACCUUCGGGCCUUGCGCGAUUGAAUGAGCCGAUGUCGGAUUAGCUAGUUGGCGGGGUAAAGGCCCACCAAGGCGACGAUCCGUAGCUGGUCUGAGAGGAUGAUCAGCUACACUGGAACUGAGACACGGUCCAGACUCCUACGGGAGGCAGCAGUGGGGAAUAAUGGACAAUGGGCGCAAGCCUGAUCCAGCCAUACCGCGUGGGUGAAGAAGGCCUUCGGGUUGUAAAGCCCUUUUGUUGGGAAAGAAAUCCAGCUGGCUAAUACCCGGUUGGGAUGACGGUACCCAAAGAAUAAGCACCGGCUAACUUCGUGCCAGCAGCCGCCGUAA